Podarcis lilfordi (Lilford's wall lizard) is the source of this 79-nucleotide non-coding RNA. NCBI's taxonomy places the organism in Eukaryota, Metazoa, Chordata, Lepidosauria, Squamata, Lacertidae. The record is from the annotation of a GenBank genome assembly.
CUUGCCUUAGCUCAAUGGUAGAGCAUCCAGCUCUCAUGCAGAAGGUCCCAAGUUCAAUUCCUAACAUAUCCAGGCAAGA